RNAcentral lists this long non-coding RNA (580 nucleotides) under Rosa chinensis. The record is from RNAcentral. Lineage: Eukaryota; Viridiplantae; Streptophyta; Magnoliopsida; Rosales; Rosaceae.
GGGGGGCCUCGGCCCGGGAAGGGGAGAGUGGCCGAGUGGUCAAAAGCGACAGACUGUAAAUCUGUUGAAGUUUUUCUACGUAGGUUCGAAUCCUGCCUCUCCCAUUGUAGACUUCAGAGAAGAGAAAGGAGGCAUUCGCCAGCGUAGGCCGAGCGACGCUCUUUCUUUUUUUUGGCCGCGCCGUGAAGUUCAAUUGUAUCGUAUGUUAGUUAGAGAGGUUGGGGAACUACUACGAUCUAUAGAUUCCCCAUCUAUAUUCAAUCCCAACGAGAAUAGAAGCGAGUCGCUUCCGGCUUGGCUUGUAGUCGUAUUUAGCUUAUGUAGUGGUCGGCCUUCCUACACGCGCGCGCCCGCCAGAAUGCCCCCUUGGUUCUGGACGAAGCCAAGUCGAUACAUACGAUAGGCGAAGGCCGGGAACGCAAGUUUGAUCGAAGCGCCAAAGGCACCGAAGGUGAAGAAAAGGCUCGGGAUGGAUUUAGGAGUCUUUGUGCGAGCCGUAUGCGGUGAGAGUCGCACGUACGGUAACGAGGGGGGUUCGCGUCUAUACGUGUAGUGUGGUGGUUGGGCCUACCCACCCUAU